RNAcentral lists this ribosomal RNA (429 nucleotides) under Actinomycetes bacterium. RNAcentral's name for it is "Actinobacteria bacterium partial 16S ribosomal RNA". It matches the Rfam family "Bacterial small subunit ribosomal RNA", at positions 355 to 776 of the family's 1533-position model. The record is from RNAcentral. Lineage: Bacteria; Bacillati; Actinomycetota; Actinomycetes.
UAGGGAAUCUUCCGCAAUGUGCGAAAGCCUGACGGAGCAACGCCGCGUGAGUGAUGAAGGUCUUCGGAUCGUAAAACUCUGUUAUUAGGGAAGAACAAAUGUGUAAGUAACUAUGCACGUCUUGACGGUACCUAAUCAGAAAGCCACGGCUAACUACGUGCCAGCAGCCGCGGUAAUACGUAGGUGGCAAGCGUUAUCCGGAAUUCUUGGGCGUAAAGCGCGCGUAGGCGGUUUUUUAAGUCUGAUGUGAAAGCCCACGGCUCAACCGUGGAGGGUCAUUGGAAACUGGAAAACGUGAGUGCAGAAGAGGAAUGGGGAAUUCCAUGUGUAGCGGUGAAAUGCGCAGAGAUAUGGGGGAACACCAGUGGCGAAGGAGACUUUCUGGUCUGUAACUGACGCUGAUGUGCGAAAGCGUGGGGAUCAAGCAGG